AGGGUGUAAACGCUGCAGACUUGGUGUUGGAAGCCCUGUGGGGGCAUUCAGUGCCGGAGAGAAGUUGUUAAGUCUGCUACUUGGGGAGUACGUCCGCAAGGAUGAAACUUAAAGGAAUUGGCGGGGGAGCACCGCAACGGGAGGAGCGUGCGGUUUAAUUGGAUUCAACGCCGGGAAGCUCACCGGAUAGGACAGCAGAAUGAUUGCCGGGCUGAAGACCCUGCAUGACUAGCUGAGAGGAGGUGCAUGGCGUAGACGUCU
Molecule: ribosomal RNA, 261 nt
Filed under: uncultured archaeon
Lineage: Archaea
Description: partial 16S ribosomal RNA
Rfam family: Archaeal small subunit ribosomal RNA
Source: RNAcentral